UACCGGAAAGUUUUGUCCGUACUUUCGCAAUGAGUUUCAAUAGAAAUCCUCGCUCUUAAGGAACAUAUUAACAGUCUUAAAGACGACUUGUUCAAAACCACGAAUAUUCAAAGGUUAUCUCAAACCAAAAUCAAAGGUAUCGAGAACCACGGCUCGAAUUAACCCUGUUCAGCGGGGCUGCCUGUUUAUGCGAAAAAUAUCUUAAGACUAGAUUUUUAUAUGAAAAACUGCCAUCAAGUUGUAUAUCAACCAAAAUGUGCGCGUAAUGGAAAAAUUAAGACAACCCGAAUAAUUAUUAAAAAAGAAAGCACUUAGUAAUUGAUUUGUGAAAUAAAAAAAGAAGUAACUGAAUAAGAACAAAACGUUAUUUAUUGCUUUGACAUCAAAACUUUACGAAAAAUUUUUCGAUAUGCAUUGGAAAAAAAUUGUCUGCAUUUUAACAAGAAGAAGCUUGGAAUUUUUGCUUGCAACGAGAAACGAAGAUAGUCUGCAAAUUGCUUUUCAUUUUAUCGAAAUUACACAUCAUUUCCGAAAGCAAACCGAUAUUCUCUUCUCUCUUGGUUUUUAAUCAAGUGCGCUACGGCAAUCUCGACGUCAUCCCAAUCAUAAUCGUCACUACCCGCGAUUCAUUGUACUACGUGAAAAGAUAAACAUAACACAACAACAACACCUAAUAAAUGAACGUUUAGCGGCGAACAUUUUGGGGAUAGUCGUUUCUCCAUUAACUUUGUAUCCUUUGAGAUUUAUUUAAAAUCUUAUUUGCUGGAAAUAACACC
Glossina fuscipes is the source of this 776-nucleotide long non-coding RNA. RefSeq lists it as uncharacterized. The record is from RefSeq and is a predicted model, not a curated record. The transcript has 3 exons. NCBI's taxonomy places the organism in Eukaryota, Metazoa, Arthropoda, Insecta, Diptera, Glossinidae.